CGCGGCCUAUCAGCUUGUUGGUGGGGUAGUGGCCUACCAAGGCGACGACGGGUAGCCGGCCUGAGAGGGCGACCGGCCACACUGGGACUGAGACACGGCCCAGACUCCUACGGGAGGCAGCAGUGGGGAAUAUUGCGCAAUGGGCGAAAGCCUGGCGCAGCGACGCCGCGUGAGGGAUGACGGCCUUCGGGUUGUAAACCUCUUUCAGCAGGGACGAAGCGCGAGUGACGGUACCUGCAGAAGAAGCACCGGCUAACUACGUGCCAGCAGCCGCGGUAAUACGUAGGGUGCGAGCGUUGUCCGGAAUUAUUGGGCGUAAAGAGCUCGUAGGCGGUUUGUCGCGUCGACUGUGAAAACCUACAGCUUAACUGUGGGCUUGCAGUCGAUACGGGCAGACUUGAGUUCGGUAGGGGAGACUGGAAUUCCUGGUGUAGCGGUGAAAUGCGCAGAUAUCAGGAGGAACACCGGUGGCGAAGGCGGGUCUCUGGGCCGAUACUGACGCUGAGGAGCGAAAGCGUGGGGAGCGAACAGGAUUAGAUACCCUGGUAGUCCACGCCGUAAACGGUGGGAACUAGGUGUGGGGGGCUUCCACGUCCUCCGUGCCGUAGCUAACGCAUUAAGUUCCCCGCC
Molecule: ribosomal RNA, 630 nt
Filed under: uncultured bacterium
Lineage: Bacteria
Description: bacterial SSU rRNA
Rfam family: Bacterial small subunit ribosomal RNA
Source: RNAcentral